This 77-nucleotide transfer RNA is filed under the name Spiribacter vilamensis. RNAcentral's name for it is "Halopeptonella vilamensis tRNA-Arg". It matches the Rfam family "tRNA". From Rfam's summary of the family: Transfer RNA (tRNA) molecules are approximately 80 nucleotides in length. Their secondary structure includes four short double-helical elements and three loops (D, anti-codon, and T loops). Further hydrogen bonds mediate the characteristic L-shaped molecular structure. tRNAs have two regions of fundamental functional importance: the anti-codon, which is responsible for specific mRNA codon recognition, and the 3' end, to which the tRNAs corresponding amino acid is attached (by aminoacyl-tRNA synthetases). tRNAs cope with the degeneracy of the genetic code in two manners: having more than one tRNA (with a specific anti-codon) for a particular amino acid; and 'wobble' base-pairing, i.e. permitting non-standard base-pairing at the 3rd anti-codon position. Lineage: Bacteria; Pseudomonadati; Pseudomonadota; Gammaproteobacteria; Chromatiales; Ectothiorhodospiraceae. The record is from RNAcentral.
GCCCCGAUAGCUCAGCCGGAUAGAGCGAUCGCCUCCUAAGCGAUAGGCCGCAGGUUCGAAUCCUGCUCGGGGCACCA